GCACUCACCUGGCAGGGGAGAUGACACGAUCACAGAAGUUGUUUUCUUAGAGCAAGACUUAUCCAUUGUGUUCCAGAUGUGCUGAUCACUGUGAUUUCCCUAGAUUGAGAAACUUGACUGCCUAAUUUGUGGUUGUGAAGGACUCCAUUU
RNAcentral lists this small nuclear RNA (150 nucleotides) under Fukomys damarensis (Damara mole-rat). Its description in RNAcentral is "U1 spliceosomal RNA (ENSFDAG00000004371.1)". It matches the Rfam family "U1 spliceosomal RNA". Rfam says of the family: U1 is a small nuclear RNA (snRNA) component of the spliceosome (involved in pre-mRNA splicing). The record is from RNAcentral. Lineage: Eukaryota; Metazoa; Chordata; Mammalia; Rodentia; Bathyergidae.